AGUGAACGCUGGCGGUAGGCCUAACACAUGCAAGUCGAACGGCAGCACAGUAAGAGCUUGCUCUUACGGGUGGCGAGUGGCGGACGGGUGAGGAAUACAUCGGAAUCUACUUUUUCGUGGGGGAUAACGUAGGGAAACUUACGCUAAUACCGCAUACGACCUACGGGUGAAAGCAGGGGAUCUUCGGACCUUGCGCGAUUGAAUGAGCCGAUGUCGGAUUAGCUAGUUGGCGGGGUAAAGGCCUACCAAGGCGACGAUCCGUAGCUGGUCUGAGAGGAUGAUCAGCCAAACUGGAACUGAGACACGGUCCAGACUCCUACGGGAGGCAGCAGUGGGGAAUAUUGGACAAUGGGCGCAAGCCUGAUCCAGCCAUACCGCGUGGGUGAAGAAGGCCUUCGGGUUGUAAAGCCCUUUUGUUGGGAAAGAAAAGCAGCAGGUUAAUACCCCGCUGUUCUGACGGUACCCAAAGAAUAAGCACCGGCUAACUUCGUG
This 492-nucleotide ribosomal RNA is filed under the name uncultured bacterium. RNAcentral describes it as "partial 16S ribosomal RNA". It matches the Rfam family "Bacterial small subunit ribosomal RNA", at positions 29 to 507 of the family's 1533-position model. The record is from RNAcentral.